RNAcentral lists this long non-coding RNA (9899 nucleotides) under Triticum aestivum (bread wheat). RNAcentral's name for it is "long non-coding RNA (TAES_LNC023494)". The record is from RNAcentral. Lineage: Eukaryota; Viridiplantae; Streptophyta; Magnoliopsida; Poales; Poaceae.
GACGACGACCUUGGGAUGAGACCCGGCAUGAGCACGGGUGUACUCGAGGUCAAACCCGGCCACCUUGUACUUCUCCUCGGCAAACAAUAGCUCCAUGAUGUGGAUGGAGUGCUCCACCCAGACCGGGUUGUUGGUUUACACCACCGAGAGCUCUAUGAACCUUUUGUGGGUGUCCACGACAACAUGCAUGGUGAACUGCUGCUCGUCGUCGGCAGCCGCUCGGAGCACCAUUGGAGCCUCGCAGGAUACCCUCUAAGAAUUUGUCGUGGUGGGUGUGCUUCUUGCAAUGGUGGGGCGUGAUCAAAAGGUUGAAGAGACACAAGGGUUAAAUGGCCGCUAUAAUAAAUGGGGGUCGGCCGGCCUGUAAUCGUCACGUCUUGUCACGACGUUCAUAGCGGAGGAUUCUAGUGCACACUUGACAAUACCGCACCGCACACAUUUCAUUUGACCAUGUGUGGGCUCGAAGAGGCGCCAAAUGUAUCAUCAGUGAGCCUGUUCCCGCGCUACCGCACAGUUUACCGCGCAAGCUUCCCGCACGGCUAGUUUGGCCACGCGUCGGCUAGAAGAGGGACAAAUCGUGGGCGUUUAUUGGCAAAAAGCUUUGUAAAAACGAAGUGUGUGGAAUGACUUCGGUCAUAAGUUUACCCGUGGGUGAUGAGGUAAAAGUUACACAGAAGGGUGAUGAUGGAAACACGAGUGCGAUGAUUAAUUCUACGCUCUACAGGGCACACGGUUGAAGAAACCAACUGUGUGCAAUAAUGUCGGAGAUCGCAAUCGAGUUAGCUAUACAGAUCAUGUGCUAUGAGAUCGACAGGGUAAACAGAUUCGAGAAUGGUUAAUAAAAUCUAAGACCAUUGCAUAUUAAGGUCAAAAUAGUGCUACCAAUAUACAAGUCUCAUACGAUGCCAUUUCAACGAUUUUACCACAAAAUCUCAAAAUAUUACAAGGUUCAAAUUCCAGAGUUAUAUGGCUCAAAUUCAAAGAUUACAAGGUUCAAACUGAUAUUAGAAAUGAAAUUCAGCUCAUUAGUUGCAAACGCUUGCGCUGAUCCGCUGAACAUGGAUAUCAGAGAGGUUCAAACUAAUAUUACCACUUCUAAGUCUGGUUUCGAAACCUCAUAAUUUUUGCAGAGGGGUCAGCCACUAAGAAGUCAUGUAUGGGGUUGACACGAUGACUUCCGAUUACUCUGUCAUCUGAAGUUCCAAAAUGAAAUUCAGCAUUUUUGGAGCCUAUUCCAUUUUGCCACAGCCGCCGGCGCUAAUCAACAAACCAUUCAUUUUUGCGAAAUAGAUGUAGGGCAAACCUCAUUAACUUCAGCACCCUUGCUCUGACAACAAAGAACCUGGUGAAUAUAAUCUCCGGUAAGGUCCCUUGGUAGGAGUUCAAAGUAAUUUCUGAGAGAUGCAGAUCUAGGCAUUCGACGUGAUUGUUAUAUUGUAUCACAUUAUCCACCACUGGGCCUAAUCUUAUCUGCAAAGGAAGAAAACGUGUUAGUGCCUACAUGCAGUUUUGAACACUACUGCAGGCCUAUUUGGUUUGCAGGAUUUGUAAAAUGCACUAACAUGCCAUCUUUGAUCUGACAUGAUUAACAUGGGCAUUUGAUUACAGUCUAGAAAAACGUAGCCUUCUUCACAAGAGGUUGGAGUGGAUGAAAAGUUCCCUAAGAAAACUAGUACACAUGAAUCUAAAGGAGAAAUGCUUAUGGAUUGUAACCAUAUGGAUCAAGCAACCAAUAUGGGGGGGAAACAUGUAUGUACUGAAAUCCUCCAAAAGAAUCCUUAAAAAAUCGUAGUACAUUGUCAUUGUAAACUUGGGAAAAGGUGUCACAAAUUAAACUCCCUUAUGGUUAACAUUUAACAAAAAAGGAACAUCACCUCGAUAUAUAGCUUCUCCAGGCACGGCAAGCAUCUCAGGAAACUGACAACUUGCUCCAGGUUGGGGCCGAUAGAUUCUAGUGCCAAGACCUUCACUGUGCGCAGUUUCGGGGUCAAGCUUGUCGGAAUCAUUUUCUGGAUGACAGACGAACAUACAUCUUCAAAAAUUGGAAAUAAUGUUAAUUUGUAGAAGGAAAGGUAGAAGGCGGUUGUUGUACCUGAACGGGUGUCGAUCCAAUAACAAGUUCGGAGUAUUUGUCAGACGAGUAGCCCACCACUGUCAAUUUCGGCGCAGAAAUGACAUUGAUUCUUGUUGGACCUUCUUGAUCAACUACAAGUAAUCUCUCAAGUGCAGGUGUGUCCUCAAUGACCAUACCAUGGUACACAUCUUGUGAUGUCUUCUUGCUGCACUAGCAACACACAUAAAUAGUCCAGAGAGUCAUGGAGGUGAUGUGGAAGCUACUCAACCCAUUGAUCGCCUGAAGACGAAGGUACUCGAGUGCAGUACAGCCACGGAGUAGGCGCUCCAUGUCACCAUUUGGGUGGCGGAAGGCGACGAGCUCGAGGUGCUUCAGUCGUGGUAGAAUAAGAGCGGGCGCGUCAUUUAGGGGGAUGGCAGUUCCUGAACUUGGCGACGCGUAACGUGGGCGUGAGGCGGAGCACGGACGUUGGCAGUGAGCGCAUAUGCCCAUCAUCAAAAGUGAGCUCCUCGAGCUGAUCUAGGGCGGGGGAUCGAAACCAGUAGUCAAGCUUGGCUCGGUCCUUGCCGUUGGAACGGAACUUGCCCAUUCUAAGGCCCCUGGUUGGGCCAAGGUGACUGUCGAGGAUCUUGGAGAACGCAUCCAAGCUUUUGCGAUAGCCAUGGCAGAGCUCGUGGGUGUCGAUGAGGUCGAGAGGGGUGGAGUUCCAUAGGGGGCGCCACCACCGGGAAAUGACGGUUGUCCGCGCCCCAUAUUUGAUUGGGAGGAGGGAGAUGAUGACUGUCAACAUAUCAUCGGGGAGGCUGAUGAUGAGGUCUAGGCAUGCUGGAGUCACUUGCGGUUCUUGCUCGCCCCGCCUCCGCUUGUUGUCAGCCCCGUACUCCACCUUUGGAGUCUCCUUGUCAGCGACGCUUUCUCAUAGAAGUGGGAGUACAGGGAAUAUUUAGUUAAAACAGGGCAACAGAAAAGUGUAUUGGUAACUAGAAGUUAUUAGGUAGGAAUAUAGUAAGAAAAUGGAAUAACAAUUGGUUGCUUAAAUACUACACAAUUCAUUUGAUAUUGCUAGGUAACUCAACAUGCAGAUACUUGAAAAGAAAACUUACUUUGAACAAAGUCUAGACCGAUGAUAUCAUCGGGGAAGUUAGCAUAUAUCUCAUGACCAGGCUCUUUUAUGUGCAGUGCAAUUUUAGUGCCAACUUUCAGUACAUAAAACUUAGAAAUUUCUUUCCAAAGGCCGGUGCCAAAAUAGGAGUCACCAUGUUCAUCAAGUCUUACAGUAGCAACGAUUGUAAUCCAUGGUUUGUGUUCAGUAUGACAUCCCUGCGGUCUUGAUUUUUGUAAAGGGAAAGAUUGUGCACUACAUAUUAUGUUGCAUAGCAAGGGACGCGCUGCAGAAAAUGAUAGGAUUGUUAAAAAAAUAUGGUAACAUGCAAAUAUGGGCCCAAAUUGAAAGAACUGUACAGCUGUUGAAAUCGAAGGACAAAAAUCUAUAAUUAAACAGAUAGGGUAAACAUGAUGUCAUGGAAAUAUGAGAGUAAUCGAAAGAACAAUACAUCAUUAAUUUGCCUAAUAUAGAAAGAAGAGGGGAAAAUUCCCCUUUGACGUAUAUGGUGCAUGUGGCACCUUUUAUCCAAAUGUAGCAAUUUUUAGUAUAUGUUCAGGAAAGUAGGCCAUGCCAACCGAUUUAGGGUGAGAUGGAACAUACCGCGCACAUCCUCAAGUCAUGUACGGUGAUACGGAACUCCAUUCCAAAUCAAUUGUCAGGUCCUGGCUAGGAAUUAUUAGCACGAACACUAACCCUAGUCGGAUUACUAGCAGAAAUGAUUUGCACAAAUGAAACAACUAAUCACUUAUCACUUGUACCAUUCAAAUAAUCAAUACACUACAUGGAUCUAACGAAACUUACUCAGAUUUCAUGGAUUGGGAGAACAAAAUCAUAGGAUUUCUAUUCCAAAAAGGGGGAGGCAGGAGUAACCAGAGAAACCCUAGGAUCUAUUUGACACAUAAAUGGGUAUAGAUGACUAACCAGUUGUCCGUCAUCGUCGGAGUCGUCGCAGUGGUCAUCGCCCGAGUCGUCACCGGAGUCAGUGUGGAACUCCGCCUCCGGCUGUGGAAGCUCGACGCCGUCGACGACGUCAGGGUGGAGCGAUAACUCACCGGCGGUGACGGCAACCUCUGUCUCCAUCUCCACACCGUGCUCCGGUGCUUCAGCAGCCCCGACGUCGCCACUCCCUCUGAUGGGGCGCUUCGGCGGCAUUCUCAUACACUGACGGCUUUGAGGACUGAGAACGGUGUUGGGGAUGCAGGCGGAGAGAGAGGAUUCUAUGUGUGGCGAGGAUGGUGGGUGCGGUCGCUCGGGCGCACCAUUAAUAUGGAGUGGUAGGAGAGAGGCGGGCGGCGGUCAAACCGCAGGCUCGCCUCCCGGUGAGCCUGCGUACCGGACUGCUGGCAUGCCUACUGUCGUUUCACACAGCUACUCGCACGCCUCCCGAUAACAUUGGGCAGCGAGCACGCCUCCGUCAAUUCACACACCUACACGCACGCCUCCUGGUCUACUUGCGCGGCGGACUGCGCACAUGCGUCCCAUCAACUCACGCCUGCUCGCAUGCGUCCCGUCAACUCAUGCCUGCUCGCACGGCACACAGGUCGCGUGGCGGCACAUAUAUUGUUUUUUUCUAUUUGGAUGAUUAAUGUUGCCGCUUUAUUGCUUAACCGAAGUAUGGCAUGUAUCCCUUGUGGGUCUAACGCUCACGGUUCAAAUAAAUAAUCCAUUUGGGAUAUUGGUUCCCAAUUAUUAAUAAUCUCCCGUUUGUAAUUAGAUAAAUAUUAUAUCAAAACUGCUCUCAAAUUUGACAAAAAAGUACAAUGCCACUUUGUAUUGGUGUCCAUAUGACAACACGAUAAGUUUCAUGAACUUCAGAUAAGUUUUGGAUGUACUAGAAUCUAAAAAUCAAGAUUCUCAAUGUUUGAAAUUUCUUGCACGGGGAGUAAACAUGCACCCAGUGAGACACAUGUGUUUUUGCAAUCCAUUUAGGUGCACUAUCACGUGUGCAUGUAGCUCAAAUUUGAUGUUUGCAAAUUAUACCAUAGAAAAUCAAUCAAUGUACUAAAACGUCUUAAUGAUCUCUGUUUUUUUCAAAAUUAAAACGUCCCUCCUUUGGUAACAUAUGUUCACCGCAGGAUAAUUUAACAUGCAUCGUAGUUGCGGUGGAUUCGCGGUGUGUGUGUGGGUGUGUGUGUCUGGGGGUGGCGGGUGGCUCGCAGUACACUACGAGUUGUGAGCCACCGUGUGGGUUGGCCGUUUUGUUAGGCAGGUGCCACAUCAGAGUCGUGAAUUCGUUAUUUAAAAUAUUACACAACCUUUUCAUACAUACAUGUUUUGGCCACAUGCAGUCGAUGGUUGUCCUACACGACAGUCGAUACCCGCGUGUGAUGCUUUCUGUGGGCCCACGAGGUCGUCGUCCAUCACUUUGACGAACAACCGACAGUGAGGUUAAUUUGACCAGCAAGGUAGAAUCUUUUUUGUUUGUGUUAUGGUGGGAGUAUAUGUAUAGUACUCGUCGAAGAGGUGGGAGGGACUAGCAUAUAUACUAUACGUACGCGUACGUGAACAAGUACACAUCACUCAGUGUUGCGACUUUUAGGUUUCCGAGGCACGUGCCACAUCAAAGUUGUGAAAUUGGCUAUUCAAACAUCACACAACACAUCUUUGGGCCACAUGCAUGCAGGCGGUGGUUAUCCUAGCUAGAACACUCACGUGUGACGCUUCCAUCUGUGGGCCCACGAGGCCAUCGUCGAUGCAUGCAUCACUUUGACCUACAUCGGGAGAGGUUAAUUAAUUUCACCAUCGAGGAGGAUUCGUUUUGGGUUGUAUUACGAUAGGAGCAUAUAGUAUGCGUCGAAGAGGGAGAAGGGGACCAUCAUAUGUAGUACGCUUCAUGAACCUCGCUCUGUGUGGGGGCUUUACAGUUUUUGAGGCAUGUGGCACAUCAAAGUUGUGCAUUUUGGGUAUUCAACAAAUGUUUGUCCCACAUGCAAAGCGAUGGUGGUUGUCCUCUCGCACCCACUUAAGCGGUUAUCAGCGAUAUCGAUGCUUUCCAUCUGUAAGCCCUCUUGGUCCAUCACUACUUUUUGCCUGACAACAAGAGAGGUUAAUUUGACUUAGGAGGGGAUUAUUUUUUUGUUUGUAAUACAGUAUAUAUAUAGGUCAUGCUCUGGGAUGACAUGAUACAGUUUGAGCACACACACAUGGAUGUGUACGCAUGAAUCCCUCCCAUCGAGUCGAAGUGGCUAGUACAACGACACGUCAUGAACCGAUCUCGCUCUCUGUGGGAACUGUAUGAUUUUCGACGCACGCGCCACAUCAAUGUUGUGAAAUGGUAUUCAAACAUGCAUGCACGCAUCACCUCCAUACAUAUGCAUUUAGUGGUUGUCUUCGAAUGGUGCAGUCCCUCGCGUGGUUAUCGGUGACAAGCCUAUAUAUUCGUGAGCCCGCGUGGACAUCCAUGAUCACCUUGACCGACAACAAGAUAGGUUACCAUGGCGGAUUCUUCCUUUGGUUUGUGUUAUCGUACUAUAGGUCAUGGUGAGAUUCAAACCUACUUAAGUUUGAGCGCAUAUACUAUGCCCGUAUGCAUGCAUGAAUCCCCAUCGUCGGCUUGAAGUGUGGUGUGACAUACAUAUGCAUCGUCAACCUAACCCUCACUCAGUGUGGGGAUUUCUAGUUCGAAAGCACGGUGCCACAUCAAAGUUGUUCCAUUGUGUAUUCAAAAACACACCUCUCCAUACAUAUGUUUGGGCCACACGCAUGCAGUGGUUGUUUUCGGGGACUAGCUACUUGCGUGAUUAUUGGCGAGCUAGCCCAUCUCCGGGGUCGCAUGGACGGCCAUCACUUUGACCAACAAUAAUAGAGAGGUUGUACGACCAAGGUGGAUUAUUCUUGGUCCGUUUUAUGAUCCAUCUUGGUGAGAUGCCUCUCUGGCCCGCCGACUGAAAGUGGGUGUGUGGGGGGCUGCUACUUCGCACUUUGCUAGGUGAACCUCGGUUGGGGGGCAUGCGUUCAUAGCUUAGGAUUCCCUUCGUGCCGACACGAGGGGGGCAAGCAAUAUCGCGCGCUUUACGAGAUAGGUGCCACAUCGAAGUUGCAUUUGGUUUUUGAACAUCAAACCACCCUUUUCAUACAUAUAUUUGGUCCACAUGCAAGUGUGUUCAUGUUUUGACCCUCUCCCGCGUCAUUUUUUUGCCAAAUUUAUGAACAUUAGACAAGUCGGAUGACGCAACAGAGACGGUUCACUCAAACUAACCGUGUGCCACGCCGGUGCCCCUGUCACGCACAUCCGCACAGUAUAUUGGGCUCCACGAGGCUUCUCCUCAAAAAUAUCUACCCGCCUACAGCUUUUUUCUGUUUGAUAACACACAGUUAUUAUGUUUCGACUGUAUCUGAUGUUUCUUGUUCCCAAUCUCGCCUGCAUCCCUCGAAAAUAUCUUCCCGCCUCGAGGGUUUCUCUAUUUCAUAACACACGGUUGUUAUCUCCGGACCGUGUGCGAUGCACCAUCAUCAAAAUUUUCAAUAGCCCCGGCAUUUCACUCCUGCGUUUGACUCCAGCGUAGUAAAAUUUUCGGUACCCGCAUCAUUUCCUCAAACACACCCCCACCCCCCUCCACACACACACACACCAAAACCUCCUCAGGCGCGCGCACACACACACACACUUCCUCGCUCGAAACCAUAGCAAGGUCCCCGCCGCCGCCGCAAGGCCUCUAUUGUCAACAUCUGCUGGUUUGCCCGUGCAGCUUGUCCACCGAUCUCCAUACCCAGGACGCCUUGAGUUUCUUAGAUGACACCUGCCAAAUGCCCCUUUCCCACAGAUCUCCAUCCCCACCCCCCACUCCAGAGCGCCGCAGCCUAAGCCCGGCUAUGCUUCCCGUGGAGCUCGAAGAGCGACUGGCCCAAAAGAGGUGUAUCACGGUCUCUUCGCCUGAUGUUGCCGGCUAUGACGCAGGCACUCAAUCAGCGGGCUAGAGUAUGCGGGUAUGUCGCAGAAGCCGGCUAUGACAUCGACGUCGUCGACAGCGACGGCCUGAGGCGGGCCAUGUCACAAGUUAAGUGGUCCACCCCCAACCCCUUGGGUUCAACCGCCAUCGAUCUCAUCCAUGGCCCCGCCACUGAUCUCCUCUGGCUCGCUCUCAAGAAUUUGCCAUCCUACAUCGCCAUUGAGCCCCUUUUGUCAUUUCGGAGGGACACGUUCUGCGACGCUGGCUUGGGAUCCACAGCUUCCAAGUCAGACCUCAUCGACUACGACCACAAGGAGGGCACCCUCUCCGGCUCUUCCAAGGGGAAAGAGCCCAUCUCCUCUUCCAAGGGGAAAGAGCCCGUCUGCGACAUCAGGGAGGGCACCCUACAGCUAUGCUCUUCCAAGGGGAAGGAUCCCAUCAGCGACAACAUGGAGCGCAUCCAGGGUUCGUGCUCUUCCCAUGGAAACGAGCCCAUCUGUGACAAUUGAGGAAACCCAUGCUUUGUUUUCCUGUGCCUCUUCACAGGGGGAAACCCAUGAUUUGUUUUGUCGAGUCCCUUUUGUAGUGUAGUGAGAAUAUGUCUAGUUUUAAUUGCUAUAUUUGGUUGUUUGCAGUAUGCCUUGUUUAUUUUAGUUGUUCACAAUGUGAUGCUCUAUAUGUGCAAUUAUUUACUGUGCAGUACAUUUCAUCAAUCCAGUUUUAAACAUACCGAUAGGAAUGCAUAUAUUUGUUUGUUGUUAAGCCUAUUAUAGCUAGCAUAUGCCUAUUUUAAAGUUUUUUAAUUGUUCGGUUGUUUGUAGUUAGCAUAUGUCCAGUUUCAAAUGCUAUCUUUGGUUGUUUGUAGUAUGCCUUGUUUAUUCCAGUUAUUCACAACGUGAUGUUCUAUAUGUGCAAGUAUAAACUAUGCAGUUCAAUUUCAUCAAUACCAAUUUCAAUAAUACCAUGAUGAAUGACUACAUUUGGUUGUUGCAUCUUGUAGUUAACACGCCUUUUCAUUUUUAUUUAACAAUAACCAGUGUACUUAGACUGGUACAAUACCAUUUUGAAUGACUAUGUUUGCUUGUUGUUAAAUGUUAGGCAUGUUGCAGUUCCACUUGUUUUGCUUUACUAGCAUCCUUAAAUCUGCACACUGAAGCUAUCUUUUGGAGAUCAUUUUGUCUGCCAUGGAUAAUUUUGGUUGAUGUUUAGCCUGUUGUGCUUAACAUGCCUCUCGAUGUACCUACACAGGACAAUUUUGGGAACGACUGAUGUUUUCCAUCGAGGUUUGUUUCAUCCCAUGGCUUAUAUAUACUCACUGUUCAAGAUAUCGGUAGCUGCUACCAUAUAGGCCAGGGGCUGAUAAGGGACUAAUCGGUGAAUCGGACUUUUAACUCAAUAUAUCAGUAACCCAUUUAUUGUUAGGUUAACUAGAGCCAUAUGUAAUAUAUCUGAGGCUACAUAGCAACAUGCACUGUACUUAAUGUCUAAAUAUGCAAUCCUAGGCUACAUAGAAACAAGGAAGAGUGUUACAGCAACAACAGCAACAGCAACAACAACGACACCAACAACAGCAACAACAACAGCAACAACAGCAACAACNNNNNNNNNNNNAACGACAACAACAACAACAACAACGACAACAACAACAACAACAACAACAACAACAACAACAACAACAACAACAACAACAACAACAACAACAACAACAACAACAACAACAACAACAACAACAACAACAACAACAACAACAACAACAACAACAACAACAACAACAACAACAACAACAACAACAACAACAACAACAACAACAACAACAACAACAAUUGUUGUU